Molecule: ribosomal RNA, 253 nt
Filed under: uncultured bacterium
Lineage: Bacteria
Description: partial 16S ribosomal RNA
Rfam family: Bacterial small subunit ribosomal RNA
Source: RNAcentral
UACGUAGGGUGCGAACGUUAAUCGGAAUUACUGGGCGUAAAGCGUGCGCAGGCGGUUCGUUGUGUCCGUCGUGAAAGCCCCGGGCUUAACCUGGGAACUGCGAUGGAAACUAGCGAGCUGGAGUGUGGCAGAGGGGGGUGGAAUUCCGCGUGUAGCAGUGAAAUGCGUAGAGAUGCGGAGGAACACCGAUGGCGAAGGCAGCCCCCUGGGCUAACACUGACGCUCAGGCACGAAAGCGUGGGGAGCAAACAGG